Molecule: ribosomal RNA, 282 nt
Filed under: uncultured bacterium
Lineage: Bacteria
Description: partial 16S ribosomal RNA
Rfam family: Bacterial small subunit ribosomal RNA
Source: RNAcentral
CCGGGACACACGUGUUACAAUGGCAGGUACAGGGGGGUGGCUACCGGGUGACCGGAUGCCGAUCUCGAAAACCUGUCCCAGUUCGGACUGGAGUCUGCAACCCGACUCCACGAAGUUGGAUUCGCUAGUAAUCGCGCAUCAGCCAUGGCGCGGUGAAUACGUUCCCGGGCCUUGUACACACCGCCCGUCAAGCCAUGGGAGCCGGGGGCGCCUGAAGUCCGGGACCGCGAGGACCGGCCUAAGGCGAAACUGGUGACUGGGGCUAAGUCGUAACAAGGUAUC